RNAcentral lists this ribosomal RNA (272 nucleotides) under uncultured bacterium. RNAcentral describes it as "partial 16S ribosomal RNA". It matches the Rfam family "Bacterial small subunit ribosomal RNA", at positions 524 to 794 of the family's 1533-position model. The record is from RNAcentral.
GACAGAGGAUGCGAACGUUGCUCGGAGUUACUGGGCGUAAAGCGCGCGCAGGCGGUCCGGUAAGUCGGGUGUGAAAGCCCGGGGCUCAACCUCGGAAGCGCACACGAUACUGCCAGACUACGGGUCUUGAAGAGGAGAGCGGAAUUCCCGGUGUAGAGGUGAAAUUCGCAGAUAUCAGGAGGAACACCGGUGGCGAAGGCGGGUCUCUGGGCAGUAACUGACGCUGAGGAGCGAAAGCGUGGGGAGCGAACAGGAUUAGAAACCCCGGUAGU